This 811-nucleotide ribosomal RNA is filed under the name Cedecea davisae. Its description in RNAcentral is "bacterial SSU rRNA". It matches the Rfam family "Bacterial small subunit ribosomal RNA", at positions 698 to 1533 of the family's 1533-position model. The record is from RNAcentral. Lineage: Bacteria; Pseudomonadati; Pseudomonadota; Gammaproteobacteria; Enterobacterales; Enterobacteriaceae.
CCACUGAAACGGGUGGCGAGGCAGCCCCUGGCCGAGACUGACGCUGCAGGUGCGAAAGCGUGGGGAGCAAACAGGAUUAGAUACCCUGGUAGUCCACGCCGUAAACGAUGUCAACUUGGAGGUUGUGCCCUUGAGGCGUGGCUUCCGGAGCUAACGCGUUAAGUCGACCGCCUGGGGAGUACGGCCGCAAGGUUAAAACUCAAAUGAAUUGACGGGGGCCCGCACAAGCGGUGGAGCAUGUGGUUUAAUUCGAUGCAACGCGAAGAACCUUACCUAGUCUUGACAUCCAGAGAACUUUCCAGAGAUGGAUUGGUGCCUUCGGGAACUCUGACACAGGUGCUGCAUGGCUGUCGUCAGCUCGUGUUGUGAAAUGUUGGGUUAAGUCCCGCAACGAGCGCAACCCUUAUCCUUUGUUGCCAGCGGUUCGGCCGGGAACUCAUAGGAAAACGCCCGUGAACAACUGGAAGAAGGUGGGGAUGAACUCCAGUCCUCAUGGCCCUUACCAGUAUGGCUACCCACGUGCUACCAUGGCGCAGACCAAAAGGAUCGACAUCCCGAGAGCGGACGUACCUCAUAAAGUGCGACGUAAUCCGGAAUGGAGUCUGCCACUCGACUCGCUGAAAUCCGAAUCGCUUGUAAUCGUAGAUUAGAAUGCUACCGUGGAUACCUUCCCCGGCCUUGGACACAACGGCCGUCACAACAAGGGGAGUGGGGUUGCAAAGAAGUAAGUAGCUCAACUCCGGAGGGAGCGUACCACUGUGUGGAUCAUGACCUGGGGGUGGAGUCGUACUGGGUAAACCGUUACCUCGGA